GAUGAACAAGAAAAAAAAUAAUAUGAGAUUUAUAUUUAAUAUUUCACAUUUCGACUCUUCAAUUGGUAAAAUAUUAAUGAAGCUUGUCAAUAUUCAACAACCUCAUCUUCCGAUUCUCUGAGCCACAAACAAAAUUGUAAUUAUUGAAUCAUUACCGUCGACAAUGAAAUAGAACUAAAAUUACAUGAACCCUCUACAGUAUUGGAGAAGCAGACGCUGCUAUCCUCCUUCUCCGUGCUAGUGGCGCUACCUCCACCUCUCGAGCUCCGCUUGCUGUGUUCUAAAUCUUAUUGAAGUACCUCUUUUUGCUUAUUCUAUUGUUCGUCC
RNAcentral lists this long non-coding RNA (327 nucleotides) under Salvia miltiorrhiza (redroot sage). RNAcentral's name for it is "long non-coding RNA (SMIL_LNC010935)". The record is from RNAcentral. Lineage: Eukaryota; Viridiplantae; Streptophyta; Magnoliopsida; Lamiales; Lamiaceae.